This 253-nucleotide ribosomal RNA is filed under the name uncultured bacterium. RNAcentral describes it as "partial 16S ribosomal RNA". It matches the Rfam family "Bacterial small subunit ribosomal RNA", at positions 524 to 776 of the family's 1533-position model. The record is from RNAcentral.
UACGUAGGUGGCAAGCGUUGUCCGGAUUUAUUGGGCGUAAGGCGAGCGCAGGCGGUUCCUUAAGUGUGAUGUGAAAGCCCCCGGCUCAACCGGGGAGGGUCAUUGGAAACUGGGGAACUUGAGUGCAGAAGAGGAGAGUGGAAUUCCAUGUGUAGCGGUGAAAUGCGUAGAGAUAUGGAGGAACACCAGUGGCGAAGGCGACUCUCUGGGCUGUAACUGACGCUGAGGCGCGAAAGCGUGGGUAGCAAACAGG